RNAcentral lists this ribosomal RNA (268 nucleotides) under uncultured bacterium. RNAcentral's name for it is "partial 16S ribosomal RNA". It matches the Rfam family "Bacterial small subunit ribosomal RNA", at positions 84 to 353 of the family's 1533-position model. The record is from RNAcentral.
UUUGAUGGCGACCGGCGCACGGUGAGUAACACGUAUCCAACCUGCCGAUGACUCGGGGAUAGCCUUUCGAAAGAAAGAUUAAUACCCGAUGGCAUAGUUCUUCCGCAUGGUGGAACUAUUAAAGAAUUUCGGUCAUCGAUGGGGAUGCGUUCCAUUAGGUUGUUGGCGGGUAACGGCCCACCAAGCCUUCGAUGGAUAGGGGUUCUGAGAGGAAGGUCCCCCACAUUGGAACUGAGACACGGUCCAAACUCCUACGGGAGGCAGCAUG